CUCGUCGAUCAUUUAUCUUUUGGAAGUGGCGGUGGUAGCGGUGGCAGUGGGGGGGGGGGGAGAUAGGCAAACGCACACCUCAGCAAAACUCUCACUUCAUCUCCCCGUUUUUUGCGUUCUCAGCAAUUUUUUCUUCUCAAUCCAAUAGAAAAAGAAAAA
This 159-nucleotide long non-coding RNA is filed under the name Polistes fuscatus (common paper wasp). RNAcentral's name for it is "uncharacterized LOC122513722". Lineage: Eukaryota; Metazoa; Arthropoda; Insecta; Hymenoptera; Vespidae. The record is from RNAcentral.